UGGUGAAAGACAAGAAUGAAGUUACAGUGGAUACCACAACUAGUCAAUUAGCAGUUGUCACCUCAUCCCCUCUAUGGGAUGUCUUUUUGAGUUUUCGUGGCCAAGACACUCGCACAAAUUUCAUUUCACAUCUUUACCAUGCUUUGGAUCAGGCAGGGAUCGUAACCUUCAAAGACGAUCCUGCACUUGAAAAGGGUGAAGAAAUCUCAUCAGCUCUGCGUCAAGCAAUCACAAAUUCUAAAAUGUUUGUACUAGUUAUCUCACAGAACUAUGCUGCUUCGUCGUGGUGCCUUGAUGAGCUUGUAGAGAUCCUGAGUUGCAAGAGAACAAAGAAUCAGGUUAUUCCAGUAUUUUACCAUGUUAAUCCAUCAGAUCUACGACACCACAGGGGGAGUUUUGGCGUAGCUCUUAAAAAGCAUGAGAAGCGUCACUCUGUUGAUAGGAUUCACAAGUGGAAAUCUGCGCUUACUGAAGUCGCAGCUCUAUCAGGUUACCAUUUGGAAGACGCAAAAGAGUAAGUCCUUUAUGAUGACUUCUUUAUCUAAUUCAAACCAUCUGUUUUUCUAUUAAUGUUCAGUUACACUUUCUGUAAACACAUGACAUGCUUACUGAUUAAAGGACUUGCGACGCAACACAUUAUAUAUUAUUUAUAUAAGCAAAGGAUUACAAGUGUGUAUAUUGUACUCAAAUUAACAGGAGUGAAGCAGAUACAAUUCAAAAUAUUGUUGACAAUGUUUUGUCACAAGCAUCGACAAAGGUCGUACACCUUGAAAGAUGUUUAUUUGGGAUAGAUCUUGCUGUCGAAGAGAUAUAUGGACAACUAGGCAUCGAGUCAGAUGAUGUUCGCGCCCUUGGAAUAUGUGGGAUGGGUGGAAUUGGGAAAACUACUAUAGCCAAGGCUUUCUACAAUAAGUAUGCCCACAAAUUUGAUGUAAGCUGUUUUAUGGAAAAUAUAAAACAAAAUUCACAAGGAGCUAGUCCUCUACGUUCUUUACUUCAAAAACUCUUGAAAGAGCUUCUCAGAGCCAAGGAUUUUGAGGUCCGUGAUGUUCAAAGUGCACUAAGAAAAUUGGGAGAAAUUCUUAGUUAUAAGAAAGCUCUGCUUGUUUUCGAUGAUUUGGACCAUUCAAGCUACUCAGACUUGCUAGUAAGGAUUUGCGAGCUGAUUUCAAAUGGUAGAGACGGUAGCAGAAUGAUAAUUACGGCAAGAGAUUUAAACCUCCCAAAUCAACUAAAAGUACAAAUGUCAAAAGUAGAUACAUAUAGGGUGAAGCAUCUGAAUGAAAUCAAUUCACUAGAGCUCUUUAGCUAUCAUGCCUUUAAACAAUCAAAGCCUCCCGGAAAAUACUUAGCUCUGUCUGAAAGUUUUGUUACUUAUGCGGGAGGCCUUCCACUAGCUCUAAAGGUGUUGGGUUCAUCUUUGCGCGGUAGGACAGAUAUGUCAUUCUGGAAAGUUAAAUUGGAAAAAGUUCAAAAAAUUCCAAUGGAAAAUAUCCAAAGGAUCCUUCAACUGAGUUACGAUGAGUUGGAAGAUAAUACACAAAAGGCUAUUUUCCUUGAUAUUGUAUUAUUCUUCCUCGGAAAGAAGAUAGAUGAGGCUGUUGAUGUAUUCAAAUCAUGUGAUUUGUUUCCGGAGUGUGGGAUACCAAUUCUAGUUGAAAGAUGUCUACUAACCGUUGAUUUCGAUAAUACGCUUCAAAUGCAUAAUCUUGUAAAGGACAUGGGAAGGAACGUUAUUGAUGAAGAAUCCAAACAUGGCAGGUGUCGGCGCUUGUACUUGGAAGGAGCAUCACAGGCUUUGCCAAAUCAGGUAAACAAAAUGCUAAAUAUUUUAUUCCUCUAUCUGAUAUACAUACAUGCUUUUUCUUAAAAUAUAAUUAUUUAACUGAAUUAUUGAAUUUUAUAUUUAAAAAAAAUUACUUUUAACCAAUAUUUAAUUUAAAUGUUUUUAACCUUAUUCAAAAGUGAUUCUGAGUACAAUUUCUUACUUUGGCUACUACCUGUUAAUGACAUUUAGGACAUGGAUAAAGUUGAAGCCCUAAUUGUAGAUUGUACAACGUCAAUCAACAAAUACUGCAAUGCCAAGCUAUUCGAAAGGUUGCCAAACCUAAGAUUAAUAAAAUUAGUUGAUGUCUAUGAUAUCAAAGGAAAUUUCAAAGCUUCAUUUGAUGAGUUGAGGUACAUCAGUUGGCAUGAUUGUCCUUGGACCCAUUUACCUUAUGGUGUUCAUCUACAAAAACUUGUUGUUUUAGACAUGCCAUUCAGCCGAUUUGAAACAUUGUGGAAGAUUGCUAAGGUAUGAAAUCAAAUAUCUUAACUAUUUCUCUCCCGCUCAUGUGUUAUAUAUACUAGCUUUAUAUGCCCUUACUUCGCACAUGUUAAGUUUUAUAUAUGAUAAAUUCUCGAAAACAACUAACUUGAUGAAUGAAUUAAUCAAGCAACAUCGUUAUACAUCGUGCCAUACAUUACGUUUCAUGGAUGAUAAUCGGCAUCACAUUCAUCAUAUUAUACUUCACUGCUAAUCACUUACUAGAAAACUUAAAAAGUAUACUAAUGAAUAAUCCUAAGUUCCUAACAUUGAGCAAAUUCUGGAAAAUAUGAACCAACCUAUUUAGAGACUCAACGAAGCAAAAUCAUGAUGGGGUAUUGUUCCAAAUUUGUUCUUCCGCUCUCUAGAAGUGCAAGGAGUGGUUNUGGAAUUGAUGGACAAAAAAAAGAAGAAAAAAACUACAAAGCAAGGUUGCUGAAGCAAGAAUACGCUAUGCAGAAACAAAGAGUUAGUUAUCCAAAAUCUGAUCAAAUGACCAUUUUUAAUCUCUUCUUUGAUGAUUUUGUAUAACCUGGUGUGUCUCCGGCUUCAUUCAAGUCAACAACAUAACAACAUUAGUCAUAAAACUAGGAUAAGUUCAUCAGUGAGGACAUAAUAAAAAUUGAGUUGUUUGAGGCUGUGAAUGAUAUGAACUUGGAGGCCCUGGAUCUGAGUGGUAAUCACUACAACAAAAACAGCAUCAGACAACGGUUUUUGCCCGUUGUCUGAUACCCAAGAAAACCGUGGUCUAUUGAGAUGCCGUCUGAUAUGCACCUCAGACAACGGUACGUACCGUUGUGUGAGAUCAAGAAACACAUCGGUUUAUGUUUUUCUGCGUGUUGUGUUACAUCCAGAAACAACAACGGAAUCAUUUAACAAGGUGUUGUUAUAAGCAAUUCACAACAACGGUCAUAUUUUCGAUUUGUGUUGUUAUUAGGAGUAUCCACAACAGUUUUUGGUUUUACUCACUUGUUAGUAAGAGUAUCAGACAAGAAUAUUUGUGUCAUAACGGCUUGUGUUUUACUACAUUGUACAACGGUCUUGUAGAAGGGGCCACUUGUGUAAGGCCCCAUAUAACAAUAGUCUGUAUAUUAGAACAAUUGUCUUGAAAGCUUUUCUACAACGUUUUUGUUUUCAGAUGCUCGAGUAAUAUUGCUUUAGACAAUGGUUUGUGACUACUAUUUACUUGUUUGUAUAUGUCUUAGACAACGGCUUUAUUCUUAAUAUUGUGUUGUUUGUAAGGCUUGGGACAACUGUUUUUUUUUUCCUUUUGUAUUUAGUUAUGUCAGACAAUGGUUUUACAUAACCUAAUUAAACUAUGCUCAAGAAUAUAAUUAAGAAGCCAUAAAUUAGUAACAAAAGUUUCCAUUACCAACUACAGUAACAAUAUACAAACACAAAUAAGUUUAGACUGCUCACAGUAGUUCUACCUAUAGAAAACAACAGAUUUAAAGAAACAAUAUCUUAAACCAGCCACAUUGCCACCCAAUUUGCUUGCAAGCACCAGUUUCUACUAACAAAAGCUCAACUAUAGAUGAUACUUAAGGAGAAAGAGGUUCAGUCUGUUGUUUUCUGCUUGUUGAACCAGCCUUUUUAUUCUUCUUCUCUAAACCAUUAAGUAAAUCACUAAGAUCGUGAACUGCAGAUUUUAGAUCUUUUACGGAGAUUCCUGUUUUUAAGAUAUGCUUCUCCCCGUUCGAAGUCCAACCAACCAAAGCAGGAAGUGAGUCAACACCUAACUUUUUCACCAUUGGAUCUGAUGUAUCAUGAACCUAUAACAUAUUUGAAUAUCAAUUAAGCACCAGAAAAAGGAGUAAAAAGAAAACAGCCUGUAAUAACCACUACCACUAUAAACAAACUAACAAGUAACUAGUCGUUACUUCUUUCAAGCUUAAAAUACAUGAUGCUCAAUAUCUACAUAAAGUAUUAAUAAAAACUAUAAUCUUUAUUCUAGGCAAGAAGGGUGCCAUUAUGCGGACUUUGUAGGCUUUAAAAAUUACCAGUCAUGGUAGGUUCCAAUCAGGACCUGUUAUAGACUAUUGGAAACUAUACAUUACAUCAGUGCCUUGAUAGGCUCCUCAAAACAAGGAUUUAAAUCAUACAUAUCUUGACUAAUACAGGAAAUCUAUAUUUUAGGUAACUGCCUUUGAAUCAAUUAUACAAUAUGGUAUGACUAAUAAUUAUUUGCCCACACUACUUUCCAACACCCUUGUACCUAAUCUGAUAGAGAGUGUUGCAGCACCAGUAAUUCACUUGUGAUCUAUGAGGAGUAGGAAUAAUAUUCACGUACAUACAUUUUAUACAAAAUAUAUAGGUUCACAAGGAAUAGAGCUUACUAGAUAUCAAGAGCAAAAAUCUGUGUGAGGUUUGAAAUACAUUUGGUUGACACUGAUAUCAACAUGUUUAAAUGAACUAAGAGUACACCAUACUUACCUAUAACUUGAACUUGGAAAAUAAUAUAAUGACAAGUAUAAAUUAAUUAUAAUAUCACUUACCAGUUAAUUGUGUGGACUGAUAUAUUAAAAUGUCACACACUCAAUGGUUCUGAGUAAAAUUUCAGCAGGGGCUCCUCCCCCAAUUUGUGUCACUUACACAUGUAUGCUAUUAGCAAUACUUCAGGCCAUUUGGGAAGGGAAGGUAGUGCUAGCUACGCUUCCCAGAAGGUUGAAACACAAGGUAAGCAAAAUAAUCAAUCUGGCAGCCAUAUAAUCAGAAUUUACAAAGAGCACUUUAAAAUGAUAUAGCCAAAGUGAAAACUUAACUUAAUUUUGUUUAUAUAAUACCUGGUAUUCUUCUCAAUUCAUCACUAGUGCUUAUACUUCAAUAUCAUUCCGGUAAACAACAAAGUGAAAUAUUUAUCAAUAAUAAUAAGUAAAAGAUGAGCUCAUGACAAAGAGGAAAACAAGGGAUCUAAAUUUAGCAGAGAAAACAAGAGUGAAUAGUUAGCACUGCCUACUUUUGGCUUAUAUGUUGUCUCCUUUGCUUCACAUAGACUUUCAUAUUUACAUAUAGUAUUUACAGAAGCAGUAAGAUUUGGCAAGCAUAAUAUAAAACACACACAUUCUGUGGUGUGGGAACAAUUAUUGACACAUUCAUACUCAAUAUGCAAUUGAUUAAAAAAAUAUAAAUUGAGAAUCUAGGGUUUGGACCUGCAAAAGCAGAAUGAAGAUGCGAAUCAAAUUCUUAUUCUCCUUUAGCUGCUUCAGAGAAUCAACACACUCCACUUACAAAGCAAGCCAAAAACAACUGUUAGUAUGUAAAACAAAUCCUAAUCACAAACAAAAAGAGGAUAAAGAGAAGAGAGACAUCGAGAGAGAAGAGAAGAAAGAGCCGAACAGAGAAGAGAGACAACGAGAGAGAUUAUUGGAGAGAGAGAAGAGAAUAGAGCUAGAUGGCCAGAGAGAGAAGAGAAGAGAGACCCGUGAGAGGGAGAAGAGAAGAGAGACCCCUGAGAGAGAGAAGCAUAAAGGGGGAAGCCGGUAAGGGAAUAUGAUGCAAGAGCAAACUUCCCUUGUUUCCAUAGCUUCUCUGGUGUACUGUGUUCACCUUCGACAUACUAAUUGGAGAUGUAGAAGAAGAAAGAUACAAAGAGAGGAAGAGGGAAACCAAAAUUUGAGUUUAACGCUAGAGGGGGAAACGAAAAUUUGGGAUUGCUGGGGGACCAAAAAUUAUUUGGGGAAAAUGACAUGGCUUGUCUCCAAAGCUGAGAUACCAAAUGGAAUUAUAAAUAAUAAAAAUAUUAUAUUUUAAUAUAUUGUGAAGUUGAAUUAUUGAAAAAAUGAAUUCUUUUCAAGUAUUUAUUUAUAGUUGAUUAUCAAAAUAUCAUAAAAAUAGAUUUUUAAAUAUAUAAACAGUUAGUGGUAUAAAAAAUAAAUAUUUUAUACUUAUCUUAUAUGAUCAUUUACAAAAAUAUAGUAUGAUUAUUGUGUCUAGUAAACAAAAUAAUUGAUCCUAGUAAUUGUUGAUGUAGAAAUAUAAGAAAAUUUGAACUAACAAUAUUAGUCAUGCAUUAAAAAAUUAAUUUUUUUAUGAUUAUUUUGUAUGUUUUUUUAACAACAAUAGUUAAUCGUAAAAUUUUUCUUAUUAUAAAAAGGUAAUUUUUAUGAGUUAAAAAUUCGCACUUCCUUGAUUAAUUAUUGUUUUUGCACUCUUUGUAUUAAAAAAUAUAUUUAUGUUAUGUAUAUAUGCAAAUAUGUAUUGUUCAUGUGUAAAACCAAGACAAUUUUGUACUUCGGACGCAUGUAUUAGUAUGUGUUUUAUGUUUACAAUUUAAAAAGUAGUAGAUAUAAUCUUUGUUAUGUAUUCAAUUAGUUUUGUAUUAAUUUAUAAAUAUUUAUUUCAAUGAUCUAACCGUACGGAUGUCAAGAACUAACAAUAUUAGUCAUGUAUAAAAAAAAUAUAAAAAUUUUAUGUUUAUUUUGUAUGUUUUUUUAACAAUACUAGUCAAUUGUAAAUUUUGUCUUAUUUGUGAAAAGGUAUUUUUUGUCCUGUAGUGUCUACAGACAACGGUUUUUAUAAGCACAUAUGUUGUAUAAAAAUAGUGUAGACAACGGUUUAUAGAAAGGAAACCGUUGUACAAUAAAUUAUCAUUUUUAAGAGUAAAAAAUUCGUAUUUCCCGGAUCAAUUCUUGUUUUCGUACUCCAUGGCUUAACAAAUAUAGUUAUAUUAGGCAUAUUUGCAAAUUUCUAUUGUUUAUUUGUACUAUAAAGAUAAUUUUGUAAUUCGGACGUGAGUGUUAGUAUGUGUUUUAUGUUUACAAUUUAGAAAGUACUGGAUAGAUACUUUGUUAUGUAUACGAUUAACUCUGUAUUAAUUUAUAAAAAAUUUAUUUUGAUGAUCUAACCGUACGGAUGUCAAGAAAUAACAAAAUUAGUCAUGUAUAAAAAAAAUCAAAAUUUUUUAUGUUUAUUUUGUAUGUUUUUUAACAAUACUAGUCAAUUGUAAAUUUUGUCUUAUUGUAAAAAGGUAUUUUUUGUCAUGUAGUGUCUAACAGACAAUGGUUUUUCUACGCACCUAUGUUGUAUAAUUGAAAAUGACACAACUGUUACUGAAGUUAUACCGUUGUAACAGAAUCCAUUGUCUAAAUUAUGCUCAAACAACGCUUCAUGGAAAAUCCGUUGUAUAAAAGUAGUGUAGACAACGGUUUAUGGGAAGGAAGCCGUUGUAUAAUAAAUUUUCAUUUUUAUGAGUUAAGAAUCCGCAUUUCCUUGAUCAAUUCUUGUUUUUGUACUCUUUGUAUUAAAAUAUAUAUAUUUAUAUUAUGCAUAUAUGCAAAUAUGUAUUGUUCAUUUGUUAUACCAAGAUAAUUUUGUACUUCGGACGUAAGUAUUAGUAUGUGUUUUAUGUUUACAAUUUAUAAAGUACUGGAUAGAAUCUUUGUUAUGUAUAAGAUGAGCAUAAUAUUAAUUUUUAAAUAUUUUUUUCGAUGAUCUAACCGUACGGAUGUCGAGAACUAACAAUAUUAGUCAUGUAUAAAAAAAAUCUAAAUUUUUUAUAUUUAUUUUGUAUGUUUUCUUAACAUUACUUGUUAAUUGUAAAUUUUGUCUUAUUAUAAAAAGGUAUUUUUUGUCCUGUAGUGUCUAACACACAACAGUUUUUAUAAGCAUCUAAGUUGCAUCAUUGAAAAUGACACAACGAUUUAUGGGAAGAAAACCGUUGUAUAAUAAACUUUCAUUUUUAUGAGUUAAAAAUUCGCAUUUCCUUGAUCAAUACUUGAUCUAAUGCUAGAAAAGCCUAUGACUACUAAGAAAAUGAAUAUAUUUUUGUAACUUUGGUUAGGACUUUUGAAUGUUUGCACUCUUUUAUGUACAUUUAUUUUCCUCUAAGUCAUUCAGUCAGACAACGUUUUACUAGCUAAAGGCUUGUCUAUAAGGCCAUGAUACGAUGCUAACAAAAACACUUGUAUGUUAGCUUCCCAGUCACACAACACUCUAUGGAACCCUUGUCUGACCUUUUCGUAAACAACACAACAAAUAAAACACUUGUCUCAUUACAACAACGGUUUCUCAGAAUAUUGUCUGAAGUUUCUUCACACAUCGGCUCUAAAAACAGUUGUCUAACAUGCAUCAUUACACAAUACCACAAUUAAGAGACCGUUGUCUAAUUAAAUUUAUUAGACAAGAGUUUUUUAACCGUUGUAGGUCGUAGGUGUUAGACAAUAGUUUUUCGAGGACGAAAAUAAAAUGUUGUGUCUUUGUUUCGGCCAACACUUUUUUCAGCGUCCGUUGUCUGACUAGUGUUGUCUGAUGCCAGUUUUGUUGUAGUGAAUAUAAGAGUUGGUUUGCCCAUGAUUUUAAGCUUCUCUUCUCUGAGAUCAUUACAUCUCCGUGACAAGUGCGGAAGUCCUUCACCAACCAAACCCUUUAGCUUAUUUCAGCUUUUCAACCUGAAAGAACUUUGGUUGACUGACUGUACAAGUCAUGGGUCCUGCUUUCCCGAACUACCACCGAAUUUAGAAUGGUUGUAUAUAUGUAGAAAACCACGCUUCACUGGAGCAAGUACCUGAUUCGUCCUACCUCAAACACUUGAAGACUAUGAACAUAAUGAGAUGCUGCAGCCUUCAAUCUCUCCACAAACUUCCACCUCAUCUUGAAUCCCUUACAGUUAGAGAUUGUACAAGCCUACAAGACUUUCCAGAUCUGCCGGAGUUGAGAGAUUUAAAACACCUGGAUAUUUAUUGCAAUGGCAGCAAUUUAGAAGUCAGUUUAGAGGAGAAUCACCUUCAGGUUAGUGUUAUAUAGUUUAUUAUUUCAGGAAAAUGUUGUAUAAUUACAAAGCUUAAAAUUGGAUAUUUAUUGGAAUUGAACAUUUACACCAAAUCAUAGCGUUUAUUCGACUUGGUAUAUAUAUUUCUUGAUAUGCAAAUUUUUUGGCAAUUUUUUUAAUGAUGUCUUAUUUAUGUAAAUAUCCAUGAAAUAUGUUCAGGUAUUUGUAAGAUUUAGCGAUUAAUAGAGAUUAUUAUUAGACGUGCUUUAUCAAUUCAAUUUAAAAAUUUUGAUUAAUCAUUUUAUAUCAUUCUCAUUUCAUACAUAUAAUAGAGUGGGUGUACACCGCUUCAUAUGAGAUGAAAUAUCGAUAAUGAGUAAAGAUAAAUAUGAUUUCUUUUAGUUUAGGUUUCCCUUUCCAAUAGCAGUGAAGGUGUGUGGGGCUAAAUAACUAGAAAAAUAGAAAUAUUUAUAUAAAUAUCAAUCUACUAUCUACUAUAUUUAUUAUACGAGAACACGUCUUUUGCCGGAGCAAAUUUAUUCACUUGAAAUGACAUACUUGCCCUUCCAAACCUGCAUAAAUGUUAACUUUGAACAAAUUUAUCUAUUGUAAAGGACAUAUUUAUCCUUCCAGAUCUGCUUCCGGACCUGGCCAUCUCCACUAAAAACCCUUCACUCCCGAGUCCCAACUUCAAUUCUCAUCUCAGUGUCUCUCAGAUUAUACAAUGAACGACAUGUCCAUCUCUGUUUGGCUGCUCCUCCCCCUCCCGUGCACCGGGUGCGUCACUCACCUUCUUUUUUGAUAAGGGCUAUUCUGCAUCUCCUACCUCUCCCACCUGAAGCUACAAACUCAUAUCUAUACAUGGUCACUUCUGUGCUUAUCUUCACUGGCAAAGUGUAUGACCGUGGUCUUCAAUAAAUUUAUAGGAAUGGGUUUGGUGGAAUUGUAAAAGUAAUUGCAAAUUUUUAGGUUUUAGGAUAUAGAGCUUACUUGCAAACCCUGGCUUUGGAUCUCUUCAGAGCUGCAAAAGCGUUGAAUUUGCUUCUACUGUCUUCGUUUCCAACAAUGUACAAGUUGCAAUCAUGCUUAAUGCCAAGGCAAGUUUUAUUCAUUUCCUAAAAUAUGUAUAGACAGGUUCUAUUUGUCAAAAAAAAAAAAAGGAUAAUCAAACGUUUCGACUUUGCACGACUAGUCUCAUUCUUAGUGUGAGUCUAUAUAUCAUAUCUAUGCUACUAUGUUUAGUGAAUUACCAGUUCUAAGUGUGCAUCUUGGGCCCUCUGACAUUUUGUAAAGGGAGCGAGAGAGAUACCAUAAUGAUGCAUAUUCUAGCUUAUGACUUUAACUUAUAUCAUGCCCCAGAGGUUAGGAGUGGUGCCUUGCGUCAACCAUUAAUUUUAUUACCUGGACAAGAAUUCACAUUUACAAUUAGAAGAGGGGUCGGGACUACUGAUUGUGUCAGUGUUAAUUAUGAUGAUUUUGCUAAUGAUGUUGAUGCCGGAGAUAUGCUUCUCGUUGAUGGUAAGUCAUAAAUCAUAAUGCCCUAUAUCUUCUUUCCAUUAGCUGUAUAAUCUGAGUUACCAUUGCAAUUAUUAUUUUUCUAGUGUCGUAACCAUACUACAUGCUUGAAAUUGCUUUCUACUUUUAGUCGGUCAGAUUUCUAUGUCAGAUUUCUAUGUGAAGCAUAAGCAUGCAGGCCACUUGGAUCAUGGGAUUUGACCCCGUAAAUGGGAAUGGGAAUAAGAAAUACAUUUUGUAGUGCAAACUCAUUCCUAUUCUUGUUAUCAGGAUUUAAAUCUCAUGAUCCAAAUAGCACUUUCGUAACAAUAUUGUAAGCAGGCAGCGAGCUGAGCAGCUAAUCAUCUGGCAUUGUGUAAUGCAGCAUAAUUCUAAUAAGCAGUGUUUCUUAUGGUUUUAUAAAUUAGUCUCUAUAUUACUUUAUAAGUUGGUACGUGGAGGUUAAAAUACUUUGUCGAUUAACAUUAAAGAUCCUGAUGUAAUAUUUACAAAUUAAAAUGCUUUAGACAAUUUUUGCCGUUAUUUUUAUGAAAGAAAAUAGAUUAACUUUAAUUGUAUUAGUGUGUCACUGCAUCUGCUCUAUGUUGUAGAUGGUAUGAUGCAUUAGUGGUCAAGUGCAAAGAUGAAGAUUUGGUCAAGUGUGAAGUUGUUGACGGAAGCGAGCUCAAAUCAAGAAGACAUCUAAAUGUCCGCGGGGAAAGUGCUACAUUGCAAUCCAUUACUGGUUAGCCCUUUACACCUAAAAUGAUUUCUAUAUCUAUGUACAUGUUUUUCUUUUUAACUUUGGGUGAUAGCUGUACAUGAUAUACUAACUUGUUCUACUGAUGUUCAUUGUAACAGAAAAAGACUGGGAUAAUAUUAAGUUUGGAAUGGACAAUAAAAUUGACUUCUAUGCAGUUUCUUUUGUUAAAGAUGCUGAGGUGGUACAUGAAUUGAAGGCCUACUUAAAAAGUAAAUUUAUUUUAGAUAUUAUGACCUCAAACUGUCAUCAUAGCACUGAUGUAUCCUACUUGAGCUCUAACUAUACUCAUGUUUUUUAAUUUCUUUGAUGGGUUGUGGUGUGGAUAUACAUGUUAUUUCAAAAAUUAAAAGUGCAGAUUCCAUACCAAACUUGCAAUCUAUCAUUGCAGCAUCUGAUGGGGUAUAUCAUAUUUUUAUCUGUUUAAAUUGGCCUUUGAGCUGUUAAUUGGUUAAAUUUGGGCCUUCGCUGGAAAUGUAUGAAUAAUUUACUUAUGUAAUUCAUCACCGGAUUCAAAAAAGAUAUUCAAAAUUAUGUUGGAUCCUUUGUGUUAUAGUUUGCCCUAAAUGUUAAGAUCCCUAACAUUAUGCGCUAAAAGUAGUAUUAUGUUGCUCCUUUCAGGCCAUGGUUGCUAGAGGAGAUCUUGGUGUCGAGCUUCCAGGUGACGAGGUUCCUUCAUUGCAGGUAUAAAUACAGUUGCUAUUUUUAAUGGCCAAAAGUGAGCAUAUAGAGUGACCUAUGUUGCUGAUUUCAUUCAAUAUACCGGAAUUGACUUUUUAGUCCCUCAUGGAGAGAUAAUUCGGUUGUAUCGUAGUAUGGGAAAAGCUUUUAUAGUGGCAACAAAUAUGUUAGAAAUCAUGAUUGUUCAUCAACACCUAAGCGAGCUGAGGUAUUAAUAGACAUUGCAAUAGCUGUUAAAGAGGGUUCUGAUGCAGUUAUUCCUUCCGGAGAAACCGCCCAUGGGAAAGUAAGUCAUUUUGUAUGAAUCUUCGUGUUGCAAGUACAUUAUUUUGUGUCAAAUUGCUAGACCUGUUCAUGCAAGUGGAGGCCAAUACAAUAGAAGACCAAUAUAAUAAAAGCUACCGUAUUGUGUAUUACUGGAUUUCUUCUAUUUGUGAUGUUUUAUCAUACAAGGAAUUUCUUAAUUUUAUAAAUAUGUCCUAAUUAUCUAGAGGAUAGGUUUAUUUGGAAGAUAAGUAAAUAACUAAUUAGCUACUGUUCUUGUUUAUGUAUUAUUUAGCUUAUUGUCUUCUCUACUAAAAACUCUUGCAUCCUUUUUCUAAAAGCUCCUGUAAGUCCUGGUUUAUGAGUUUUUGCAAGUUUUUCAAUUUUACCCACAUAUGUGAGUCAAGAUAGAAAAUAAGACCGAGAAGAAUGCAUAAAUUAUUCUUAUUUGUAAUUCUCUUUAUAAUUGCAGCUCUCAUAUGUAUUUGUAUUAGUUUUCCUGUAAGAGUAGAAAUAUGUUUUAUCGAAUAUUUGUGUGCGAGUUAAUUUGUAAUGAUAAACAUAAUGUGAUGUCACCUAUCNNNNNNNNNNNNNNNNNNNNNNNNNNNNNNNNNNNNNNNNNNNNNNNNNNNNNNNNNNNNNNNNNNNNNNNNNNNNNNNNNNNNNNNNNNNNNNNNNNNNNNNNNNNNNNNNNNNNNNNNNNNNNNNNNNNNNNNNNNNNNNNNNNNNNNNNNNNNNNNNNNNNNNNNNNNNNNNNNNNNNNNNNNNNNNNNNNNNNNNNNNNNNNNNNNNNNNNNNNNNNNNNNNNNNNNNNNNNNNNNNNNNNNNNNNNNNNNNNNNNNNNNNNNNNNNNNNNNNNNNNNNNNNNNNNNNNNNNNNNNNNNNNNNNNNNNNNNNNNNNNNNNNNNNNNNNNNNNNNNNNNNNNNNNNNNNNNNNNNNNNNNNNNNNNNNNNNNNNNNNNNNNNNNNNNNNNNNNNNNNNNNNNNNNNNNNNNNNNNNNNNNNNNNNNNNNNNNNNNNNNNNNNNNNNNNNNNNNNNNNNNNNNNNNNNNNNNNNNNNNNNNNNNNNNNNNNNNNNNNNNNNNNNNNNNNNNNNNNNNNNNNNNNNNNNNNNNNNNNNNNNNNNNNNNNNNNNNNNNNNNNNNNNNNNNNNNNNNNNNNNNNNNNNNNNNNNNNNNNNNNNNNNNNNNNNNNNNNNNNNNNNNNNNNNNNNNNNNNNNNNNNNNNNNNNNNNNNNNNNNNNNNNNNNNNNNNNNNNNNNNNNNNNNNNNNNNNNNNNNNNNNNNNNNNNNNNNNNNNNNNNNNNNNNNNNNNNNNNNNNNNNNNNNNNNNNNNNNNNNNNNNNNNNNNNNNNNNNNNNNNNNNNNNNNNNNNNNNNNNNNNNNNNNNNNNNNNNNNNNNNNNNNNNNNNNNNNNNNNNNNNNNNNNNNNNNNNNNNNNNNNNNNNNNNNNNNNNNNNNNNNNNNNNNNNNNNNNNNNNNNNNNNNNNNNNNNNNNNNNNNNNNNNNNNNNNNNNNNNNNNNNNNNNNNNNNNNNNNNNNNNNNNNNNNNNNNNNNNNNNNNNNNNNNNNNNNNNNNNNNNNNNNNNNNNNNNNNNNNNNNNNNNNNNNNNNNNNNNNNNNNNNNNNNNNNNNNNNNNNNNNNNNNNNNNNNNNNNNNNNNNNNNNNNNNNNNNNNNNNNNNNNNNNNNNNNNNNNNNNNNNNNNNNNNNNNNNNNNNNNNNNNNNNNNNNNNNNNNNNNNNNNNNNNNNNNNNNNNNNNNNNNNNNNNNNNNNNNNNNNNNNNNNNNNNNNNNNNNNNNNNNNNNNNNNNNNNNNNNNNNNNNNNNNNNNNNNNNNNNNNNNNNNNNNNNNNNNNNNNNNNNNNNNNNNNNNNNNNNNNNNNNNNNNNNNNNNNNNNNNNNNNNNNNNNNNNNNNNNNNNNNNNNNNNNNNNNNNNNNNNNNNNNNNNNNNNNNNNNNNNNNNNNNNNNNNNNNNNNNNNNNNNNNNNNNNNNNNNNNNNNNNNNNNNNNNNNNNNNNNNNNNNNNNNNNNNNNNNNNNNNNNNNNNNNNNNNNNNNNNNNNNNNNNNNNNNNNNNNNNNNNNNNNNNNNNNNNNNNNNNNNNNNNNNNNNNNNNNNNNNNNNNNNNNNNNNNNNNNNNNNNNNNNNNNNNNNNNNNNNNNNNNNNNNNNNNNNNNNNNNNNNNNNNNNNNNNNNNNNNNNNNNNNNNNNNNNNNNNNNNNNNNNNNNNNNNNNNNNNNNNNNNNNNNNNNNNNNNNNNNNNNNNNNNNNNNNNNNNNNNNNNNNNNNNNNNNNNNNNNNNNNNNNNNNNNNNNNNNNNNNNNNNNNNNNNNNNNNNNNNNNNNNNNNNNNNNNNNNNNNNNNNNNNNNNNNNNNNNNNNNNNNNNNNNNNNNNNNNNNNNNNNNNNNNNNNNNNNNNNNNNNNNNNNNNNNNNNNNNNNNNNNNNNNNNNNNNNNNGGAGAAACCGCCCAUGGGAAAGUAAGUCAUUUUGUAUGAAUCUUCGUGUUGCAAGUACAUUAUUUUGUGUCAAAUUGCUAGACCUGUUCAUGCAAGUGGAGGCCAAUACAAUAGAAGACCAAUAUAAUAAAAGCUACCGUAUUGUGUAUUACUGGAUUUCUUCUAUUUGUGAUGUUUUAUCAUACAAGGAAUUUCUUAAUUUUAUAAAUAUGUCCUAAUUAUCUAGAGGAUAGGUUUAUUUGGAAGAUAAGUAAAUAACUAAUUAGCUACUGUUCUUGUUUAUGUAUUAUUUAGCUUAUUGUCUUCUCUACUAAAAACUCUUGCAUCCUUUUUCUAAAAGCUCCUGUAAGUCCUGGUUUAUGAGUUUUUGCAAGUUUUUCAAUUUUACCCACAUAUGUGAGUCAAGAUAGAAAAUAAGACCGAGAAGAAUGCAUAAAUUAUUCUUAUUUGUAAUUCUCUUUAUAAUUGCAGCUCUCAUAUGUAUUUGUAUUAGUUUUCCUGUAAGAGUAGAAAUAUGUUUUAUCGAAUAUUUGGGUGCGAGUUAAUUUGUAAUGAUAAACAUAAUGUGAUGUCACCUAUCAGGAUAGAUAUAUUGCUCAAUUCUCUUACAAUCACUUGCAGGCACUUUAUCAUGCCCUCCCAAUGGACCACAUUACUGGUUCCGAGCUUCACAACAAGCUCGAAGGAGAAAUCAACUAGACCGCUGUGCCUAAGCUAAUUGAUAAGAUGACAAAAGAAGGCUUCGUUGAAGCUCAAAGCAAUAAAAGACUUGGUAUGAGAACUUAGCAUUAAAAUUACUUUCAGUGCAUGAAUCAGAUUUGUUGGUCGAUGUUUACAUAUUCCUUUUAUUUCUGAGGCAAGCGUUGAUCCAUUCUGAUCUGAAUGAGAAAAAAUUGCAUGAAGUCAAGGAAUGAGAUGGUGGAAGUUCUUUCGGCACAUUAUAAAUGCAAGUUUCUUUAAUUUUCCUGUAAACAGAUUUUCAAAUUAUGUCGAUAGGAGCUGGAUGAGCCGCAAAGGAAGCUGAACCACUCAGAACUUCAGACAAUUGGUACAUAUUUGAUCAAAUAAUUACUAUUCUAAUUUGAAAUAAAUGAUUCAAUACUUUAAGUAUGUAAUGGUAACCUAAAAGCAAACAGAGGAACUUGUCUACUUGUGACGGAGUUCGCUCCAUUUGAUCAGAUCUAACUUGCAUGAUAGGUGUAAAGCAUAAUGUAACGUAAAUGUAAUUACGAUAACUCAACACAACAAAAGACAGGAAACAAUACAUAAGUAUUAUACAGGAAUCUACAGGUUGGAGAUUCGAUACGAACAGACAAAGACAAUCAAGAUAUCUGAGACGAGCAUCCGUCCACUGGAAGAAGUUCAUUAACAUGUUCAAGCCUCAGUGAAGAAUAAAGUUCAAUAUGUUUCUGCUAUCAAGAUUGCCUGAAGAUCAAGUAUCAAAGACCAGAAGAUUCCAGUAUAUUUAAUUUGAUUAUUUAUAAUCAAAUUUAUCGAAGCAACAUCUGACCCGGAAUGACUGAUCAAGUAUAUUAUCAAGCAAAAGAAUUCAAGAAAUUAUUUCAGUUCGAGUCGUUCGUGAACCAGACCAGUGCACAGGACGACAGGACGUACGAAAGUAUUCAGUGAAUUCGAUCAACCAAUUAAUUGAUCAAGUCAAUCGAGCUGCUCUAGAAUAUAUAUUGCCAAAGAACUUAUUAACAUGUAUAUGUGUAUAUAUAUAUAUUAAUUGUGAAUUACUUGAAUAUAAAUAAUUCAAGUAAUUAAUUAAACACAAUUAGUUCUAUAUAUAUAUAUAUAUAUAAUAAGUGAUGCAAGUAUGUAAGUCAAGAAAUGGUCUAAGUACACUAUAGGGGAGGCGCCAACAUUGUUGAAGCGCAAACUUUGACUAAGUCAAAGUUUGCGCCUCAAUAACCUUCUAACACUUAGAUUUUCUAAGUACACACAGUGCUCUACAGUGGAGUCAUCACUGCAAUGAGCGCAACCUUUGACUAAGUCAAAGGUUGCGACUCCCAUCCACUUCACUAGAGCAACUACUGGAAUUGUUCUAAGUCAUAUCUACUGUGACACUGUGGAAGCUCUUGUGAGCGCAACCUUUGACUCUAAGUCAAAGUUUGCGCCUCACUCUCACCUUGGGGCAAAGUGCAAGUUUCUUGAAGAUUGUCUAAGUGCCACUACAGUGAAGCAAUGUUGAGGCGCCAUGUUUGACCUCCUGGAAGCGCAACCUUUGACCACUUAUAUGUGUACACAUAUAUAAAUAUCCAAGCGCAAGUUUGUGAUAUAUAUAUGUGUAUAUAUAUGUGUAAUUGGCGCCACUUCAAGUGCUGAGGAGUUAGAUUUAUUUUUAUAAAUCGAAUCCGUCCAGGACGAACUCAAGUCGUCCAGGACGAACUCGUUAACCAUGAUUAGUUGUUGGAAAGUCUAUAAAUAGAGGUUGAUGUUUAGGGGUGGCAAUUUCGGGUAACGGGUCGUGUUCGUGUCAGCAAUCGGGUCGAUUUCGGGUCAACCUAAAAUCACUUAAAAUUGAAUAAAACCAAAAAUUGAAGUUAUUACAAAUGAAAUUCUAGUUUCGGGUCAUUUCGGGUCCAUUUCGGGUCUGUCGGGUGAUUUUCGGGUCACUUUCGGGUUUCUGUCUCAGUAAAUCGGGUUUCGGGUUGGGUCGGGUUCGUGUCGGGUUUCGGGUCGUGUCUGAUAUUGCCACCCCUAGAUGUUUUCAUUUGAAAAUAACUACACACUUUGUAAGUGCACACACUAUACACAUUCUCGAGAGUUAAAUUAGAAUAUCGUUUUUAUCGAGAGUUUGUAAUAGAGUGAUUGUAGUCUCUGCAGCCGACACUUGUGUUGGAAUUUGUAGCACCCGAGGAUUAUUUCUAAUACAAAGAAUAUUCCCCGACUUGCUGGAGUUAUUUAUUUACGAUUGAUUUAACAUGGACUGAAACAGAAUUAUCCGCAAUUAAAUUAAAUCGAAGAAACUGGUAAGACGUAUUCAACCCCCCCCUUCUACGUCUGAUUGGACCUAACAAUAGGCAAGUCUGAUGCCUAUCAAAACGGAUCCGUCAAGAGUGACCAUACUGUUGUAAAGAUGAAAGAGCAUGGAAUCCCCAAAAGCAGAGCUCAGGUUUGUCUGGUCAACAAUUGCCUUAAAUUACCAAGUAAAAGAUGUUUUGCUUUCUGAUUUUCUAUGUUUAGUGACCCAAAAUCCUGUAAUCUGACUUCUUUUAAUCAUGCAGCCAGCAGCUUCUAAAAGAGUUUUGCACAAGUAAUAGAAUUUGGCAGAACCAAUGGAAAUCGUGACAAUUGCAGUUAGUUUGAUGCAAUCAUGUGUAGCAAGUCGUCGUCUCAAAGCAAGCGGUCCAGGAAAGUGCUGUAAGCUUCCAACCAUGACGGUGUUUUUAUAUUAAGUUAAUUGUCAUCAGCCAUUAAAGAGGUUCAAUGUUAAGAUUAAUACUCCAUGUAUACACACCCAAAAAUUAUCAUUUUAUGAUUUCAAAUUUUUGCCUGUAUAUCCCCCAUUUUCGUUAUUUAUAUGUAUCUACCCUUAAGCCUCAGGAUAAGAGCUUUCGGUGCAGAGCAGAAUGGGAACAUAACAAUAAAAUCACAUAUUUUUAUUACAUUAAUGACCAAUCAACCUGAUUUAUGGAACAAAAGUAAUCUUAAACGACUCUUUUGUAGAGACUUAAUUUCCCUUUUUUUUUGACAGGUCAAGGAUCCUAUCCUUUAGUACCUAAGAAUGAGAAGUCUCAAGUCGUCUGAAAAGAAUCGGAUCAUAUGGCCUGAUAAUUUCCACAGUUUCUUUCCACUAAUUCCUAUUUCAUGAGACAUAGACUUGUCUACUGCAUGUAUCACUUGAAUUAGCUUUUUUCCUUUCUUUGUCGAUCAGUAUUUUUACGCAGUAUACAUUCUCUCCCAUUUUAUACGACACCCCGUCUACUGAGCAUUUUUGUGUCUCUUUUUAAAAAUAAGUGAUUCAUAGUUUCAUACCAGGCCCGUGCCUCUUAUUAAUAAAGACUUGUCACUUUUGCUUAUCUUAUAUUAUGUUUUUGUUAUUCUUUCUCUACAUCUUGGUCAUAUUCUUUGGAAUUAUUUCUUAUGGAUUCCUCCUUUAAGCAAAUCCCUUUUAGUAGAGCCAGCUCGUGUCCUCAUUACUCUUAGGUACAUUUAUGUUAAAGGCUAAUUUUCAACCUAAACGACUCUAUGCUUUCAUUGAUCCCUGGCUCUUGAUUGAUUUAUACAGGAUUGUGUUUGGGAACACACAAUUCCUUUCAAAUGAUGGGUUUUCAGUAACAUCAGUUGAAUUGUCAUCUUAAAUUCUUUAACUUUGACAUGCUUAUAUAUGAAUGCCUUGGAAUUGAACUAAAUCCAACUUCUUUUUGUUAUACACAACUGUCAUUUGUACCAAAUCCAGAAUUUGAACUGAACUCCAAGUUCCCAAACAAGCAAGAUAACGUAUCAGUAGUUAUAAAGGAAUAUUACUAGCGCUCGGGGUACCUGCUUCAUAGUCUGUCUAAUUGUUUGCGGAGUUUUUGGGAACACUUAUGUAAUACACAAACACACAUAUGUAUAGGCAACAAUGUACAUAUAUUUUUAAUCACAUGUUGCUUGUAACGAAUGGAUUAUUACCAGUCUGUAUUCUGUAAUAGUUUUUUUUCAUACUUGUUCAUAUUUUCUGGGUGACUGUUAUAUGUAUUGGUAUGAAGUGCUAAUUAGAUCAAAAGGCUAUGAGAUAGUGCAUGCAACAUUGGAUUAAAGAAAAACCUUAUUGUAGUACAUUUUACAUCUAAUUUUCUUUGUUGAACAGGGUGUGCAGGCCUGCAGUUUCGGCAUGCAGAAUGGAAAUUGCAAAUCCAGUCAAUACUUGCAAGUUUGAUCAUCCAGCGGCUGCUUCAGAUACCAUACACCAUCUUCACCUUCAAUGACAUAGCUAAAUGCUCAUGUGUUUUAGGUGUACUAGGGUGUAAACUGGAUCCUCAUUAAACUUAGCUUACAUUAUUGGAAUUUGGAAACACAGCAAGAUGAUACAGCUUUUACAUAUUGAAUGUCCAGCUCUACCGUCAAACUAUCUGGUCUUGAACAUUGAGUGGCAGCAGAAGGAAAUUUCGACAUCAAGCUACAACUGUACAAAGUGCUGCUAAAUAUAUUACAGAGUUAAGGUCUUGUAUUUUAAUGCAAUCUCCUGUCUUCCUUCCGUUGGGCGGUGCAUUUAUAUUGUAUAUAUUUUCUCCAGCUUCAUAUAACAUUUUUUUUAUUGAGCAUGUUUCUAUAGAUCAUGUUUUGUGUACAAUAAAAUUAAUAUGUGUUUCAUACUAGGCCCGUGCCUUGCACGGGCACCAAUGCUAGUUUUUAAUAAAUUAUGUAAAAAAUACUGUCAAGAAGAAUUUUUUUCUUAAAAUUACAAUUUUUUGCAGAUUAUUUACAAAAAUAUGACUUAUAAUAAUUUGUAAAUGUUGCAUGAGGUUGUAUAAGUUGUUAUUUGCAACUUUUGUAAAAUGAAGUUGUAGAAGUUGCAAGUCUCACCUUCUUCUCCUACUGCUUCGUUCACGCAAUUGGGUUUCUUCACCUUCCUUCACGGAAAUCCGAACUUUCAGUGACCUCUGACUUGUUCGUCUUUCUGGUCAUCACAAUCAAAUCAAAGAAAUACACACACAUGAUCAGUUGGAUUAUCAAAGUGACAUUGUGCUUAUUCGAAUCAUUGAUCUUCUGUCAUUCAUACGGUUUUGAACUUUAAUGCUGUAUAUAUUAACUCUUUUUCUUCAAUUAAUUGGCCCCAUAAGAGAGUUUCACGAUAGUUUUGAGUUGAAUCAGUGGCUGGCAUUUACAAAAAUAUGACUUGCAACUUCUACAACCUCAUUUGUAACAUCAUUUCUCAAUUGUUGCACAUGAGAUUGCAUAAGUUACGAAUGAAAUUUCUUAUUUACAAUGGUUGCAAAAUGAUGUUGUAGCCUUCAAUCUCCCCAGAAACUUCCACCUCAUCUUUCAUACUUAUAAGACUAUAAGACUUUCCAAAUUUGUCAAUGUUGAGAGAUUUAGAACAACCGGAAGUUAUUCACAACGGCAGCAAUUUGAAAAAUCAGUUUAGAGGAUAAUCACCUCUAGGCUAGUGAUGAUGUUGGUCUUUCUCUUCCAAUAAUACUCGGUGCGUAUUAAAUCCAUUCUCUUUCAUGUUUAGAGAUUUGGGCUGUGUUCACUUAAAUUGAAUGGAAUGACAAGAAAAUUGAAUGAAUUUUGUACUCAUUCCUUCAACCAUUCUAUUGCUACUAUUUUAAUUAGAAUUCUAAUACAUGUGCCUUGAAUGGAAAACUCAUUACAUUUCAUACAUCAUGUUUUCGUACGAUCUUUAUCGCAAUAAAUUUAAACUCAUUCAUAUUUGCUCACUGUUAUCUCAUACUUUUUUUUUUCUUCCAUAAAACUUCUAUAUAAUUUUUCAUUACAUUCUCCACUCAUUCCAUUCAAUCCAAGUGAACACAACCUUAUAAACACUUGCUUUUAUUUAAAUCGUCAUACAUGUCUCUUUUCUGUUACAGCUUAUAGUAGAUUUGUGGUCUACAUAUCAAUGCAGGAUGGUCAAAAGUGGAAGCUGUUAUUACAAUAAAACAGACGGUAUGACAAUCACAUAUCCUAUCCAAGCCAGAUACAUAGUAGAAUAUAGCACGACCUACAAUUAAGUAGAAUUUCAUGCGCGUUUUCCGCUUGGAGGAAGAAAAUUUACAGAUAUUACGAAAAUGUCAUGAGUACGUCCACCGAAGAAAAUCCAUCUUAAUUUCUCUUUUUAUGUUAAAGGUAGGAGGAGACGAGGAGCCAGGGGGUCUACAUUUGAAGCUACUCUCCAAAACCGGGUCGACCAUAAAAACAGGGGAUACAAAAUAAAUUAGCAAAAAAAAGAAAAAGAAAUUAGUAUCAUAUUAUUUUAGGCAAAUUUUGUAAGCCAAUUAUGUACAUAUAACAGUAACCUAAUGUAUGUCAUCUUUUAUAACCGUUGGUAGUCGAUCCAACGAGAGUUUUACAGCGAAAUGUUUUGGCAUUUUUAAAUGUUAUUCUGGUUUGGUGAAGUUUCAUUUGGUAGUUGCUUCUUGCUUGUUUUAUUGAUUUAUUAGUAUUUUGCAUGGGUCUUUCCCCCCUUUGAUGAGUAGCUUGAGCAUGAGUCCGUUUGACUGAUUUCAAAAUUAUGAUUUUAAUAUGAUAAUCUAGGAGUUUAAAAUAUAUGUUUGAAUAAUUUUGAUUUACUAAUGAUUUAUGAUUUAUAAGUUAUUAAAAUGAUAAUACAAAAAAUGAUUUAUGAAUAAGUUAUGACUUAUGAAUAAUUUUUAUAAAAAGAAAUUUAAAAAAACUAAAUCACUCAAGAAAAUAUGGCUAAUUAAUUUUUAGAUUUAAGUUUCUGACUUAUUUAUGAUUUUCAAUAACUUAUUUAUGGCUCUCCAGCCGUUUCAGACUUAUUAUACUAACAGAUAUUUUUCAAUUUAAAUUAGGAAAUAACAAUUUUAUUAAAUGAAAAAGUUUAAAAUUAAGAUCUUACUCUUAUGAGGUGUUCAGGACUAGAUGUCUGUUGGGCGCUGUUACAGUAUGUUAAUAUAAUUUAACAUGAUUUCUACAUGCAUGCUGGUUGUAUUGCUCAGAGCUGUUCACCAACUGAGCUGUUCGCGAACCGAGUUGUUCGCGAACAAGCUCGAGCUCGUCUCGUUAAAACUCCAAAAAAUGCAAUAUUUUUAUGAUAAUUUUGUAUGAUAUACAUGUUAUUAAACGCCGAAUUCAACAUAUAAUAUAUCAAAUCGAUCAUAAAAAUAUUAACUAUAAUAUGGUACCAUCAAAACACACUAAAAUUUUUAUUUGGCUUGCUAUUUUAAGAGUCAAAUAGCGGUGUGAUCUUAUUUUUUUCUGGCUUGGCUCGUAUUUGCUCGUGAAGAAGCUCGUGUUCGGCUCGUUAGUUAACUAGCUCGAGCUCGAACACAAUUUUUUGUUCGAUAAGAAAACUCGGCUCGGCUUGAUAGGAAAAAAAUUUAAAGCUCGGUUCGGCACGGUCAAAACUUGAUUCGGCUCUGUUCGUGAACAGCUUUGGUCUCUGCACACCAUGUUAUAGUAUUGCGAAGAGUAGUAUGAAUUUGGGCACCGGUAAUUACAGAAAGUUUCCUUGUCAAUAUACUCAUUUUAAUUAUAAACUAUUCUGAUAGUUUAAGUAAAUUGUAACCGACUUUUUGAAUAUAAUAACACAGAGCUUUCAAAAUCAAUUUAUAAUUCCAACGUCAACAUCAAAAUGGAAAAAGAAAUUCUGAGCAAAAAGAUUCGCAAAGACAUGAUGAUAAUCAGCCCGAGAGAGCAUUAUUGUUAUAUCCUUGCAUAAUUGUCGAGUUUUCUUUUUUAUAAUAAAACUGGCAACUUUUUAUUAGAAUUGAAUUAAAUUAACUUUUUAUUAGAAUAACUUGCAUUAUUGUUAUAUCAUUACUUUUUAUUAGCAUUAGUUUCAUCUAUUACACCUAUCUUAUAUAUUAAAUAUCAAUUGAUCCCAUCAUUUAUUCUCUUUUCUUUGAAAGAAUUUACUCAUUUUUCUUCUUUAAAUUAUAUUUUUUAUUAGACGCCAUGCCACCUAUAUGUAUAUAACUCCACAGGAUGUAGAGUAAUUUUGUAGGGUAUGUACAGAAAUACCCUACAAAAUUACUCUACAUUUUCCCGAAAGAAGACAGAAGUGGAGGGAUCAGAGUGGAGGAGAGACGUGUAGUAGGAAAAAUAACGCGUCUGCUACUUUGAAACAAUAUUAUUUUACUAUUAAUGUAGCCUGCAGGCCAGACCCAUUUUUAUAUUUAAAACACACUUGCGAAGACUUGGAUCAAAACACACUAGUAAAAGAAAGACUUCAAGUAUACAGAGUGCAUCCGGGAGAGACCUUAGUUGAAUCAAUAAUGGCUUUUGUGUUAUGGGAAACGUUGAAAGAAUCAAUCUCAGCAUACGCAGAUCUCUCACCUGUGACUUUGCUUACAUCUGUAACUUUGGGACUUGCCUUGUUCUACGCUAUUUGGGUGAUGUUUAGGCCCUCUGCUCAGCCACAGCAGCAGCAGAGUUUGGUGGUGAAAGACAAGAAUGAAGUUACAACUAGUCAAUUAGCUGUUGUCACCUCAUCCCCUCUAUGGGAUGUCUUUUUGAGUUUUUGUGGCCAAGACACUCGCGGAAAUUUCAUUUCACAUCUUUACCAUGCUUUGGAUCAGGCAGAGAUCGUAACCUUCCUAGACGAACCUGCACUUGAAAAGGGUGAAGAAAUUUCAAGAGGACUGCCUGAAGCAAUCAGAAAUUCUAAGAUGUUUGUAGUUGUUAUCUCAGAGAACUAUGCUGAUUCGUCGUGGUGCCUUGAUGAGCUUGUAGAGAUCCUGAGUUGCAAGAGAACAAACAAUCAGGUAGUUAUUCCCGUAUUUUACUAUAUUGAUCCAUCACACCUACGACACCACAACGGGAGUUUCGGUGCAGCUCUUAAAAAGCAUGAGAAGCGUCACUCUGUUGAUAGGAUUCACAAGUGGAAAUCUGCACUUGCUGAAUUCGCAGAUUUAUCAGGAUACCAUUUGAAAGACACGAAAGAAGAGUAAGUACCUCUACGAUGAGUUCUUUAUCUAUCUAAUAAUACCGUCUGUUUUUUUAUUAAUGUUCGGUUAUACUUUCUGUGAGCACAUAACAUGCUUACUCAUUAAAGGAAUUGCGACGCAAAACAUUAUAUAUUGUUUAUAUAAGCAAAGGAUUACAACUGUGUAUAUUGUACUAAAUUUAACAGGAGGGAAGCACAUACAGUUCAACAUAUUGUUCAGGAUGUAUUGUCACAAGUACCAACAAAGGCUGUGCACCUUGAAAGAGGUCUAUUUGGGAUAGAUCUUGCUGUCGAAGAGAUAUAUCAACAGCUAAGCAUCGAGUCAAAUGAUGUCCGCGCCCUUGGAAUAUGUGGGAUGGGUGGAAUUGGGAAAACGACUAUAGCCAAGGCCUUCUACAACAAGCACGCCCACGAAUUUGAUAUAAGUUGUUUUAUGGAAAAUGAUAAACAGAAUUCACAAGGAGCUAGUCCUCCACUUUCUUUACUUCACCAACUCCUGAAAGAGCUUCUCAGAGUGAAGGAUUUGAAGGUCCGUGAUUAUGGAAGUGCACUACGUAAAUUGGAAAAAUUUAUCAGUUCUAAGAAAGCCCUCGUUGUUCUUGAUGAUUUAGACCAGUAUAGCUGUUCAGAAUUGCUAGUACGGAUUUACCAGCAGUUUUCAGUUGGUAGCAGAAUCAUUUUUACGGCAAGAGAUACAAACCUUCCAAAUCAACUGAAAGUGGCGAUGUCAAAUGUAGACAUAUAUAUGGUGAAGCAUUUGGAUCACACGGAUUCAUUGAAGCUCUUUAGCUAUCAUGCUUUUAACAUAUCAAAGCCUCCCGGAAAAUACUUAGAUCUGUCAGAAUGUUUUGUCAUGUACACGGGAGGCCUUCCACUAGCUCUAAAGGUGUUGGGUUCGUCUUUGUGCGGUAGAACAGAUGUUUCAUUUUGGAAAGUUAAAUUGGAAAAGGUUAAAAAAAUUCCAUUGAAAGAUAUUCAAAAAGUCCUUCAACUGAGUUACGAUGAAUUAGAAGAUGAAACGGUGAAGGCUAUCUUCCGCUAUAUUGUAUUCUUCUUCCUGGAUAAGAACAUAAAUGAGGCUAUUGAUGUAUUCAAAUCCUGUGGUUUUUUUCCGGAAGUUGGGAUACCAAUUCUAGUUGAAAGGUCUCUGCUAACCAUUGAUUUAGCUAAAAGACUUCAAAUGCAUAAUCUUAUACAAGAUAUGGGAAGGAACGUCAAAGAAUCCAAACAUGGGCUCUUGUACUUGGAUCAGGAAGAAGCUUCCCAGACUUUGCCAAAUACAACGGUGAACAAAAUGCAAAUUUUUUUAUUCUCUUAUGAGAUAACAUACAUGCUUUUUCUAAAUAUAGAAUUAUUUAACUCAAUUAUAAAUUCUAUACUAAUAAAUAAGUCACCAAUUCAUUCAUUUAUUGAUAAACUGUAUGAUUAAACUUCAAUUUAUAAAAUGACAACUUAUUUCCCACAUUUACGUAUUUUUAAGAAAUAUGUAUUAAAAUAGUGUUUAAUAUUACUUAUUUUCCAACAGUAGAAGUAAGUAUUUAUUUCUUAAAAAAAUAAAUUCUUACAUUAUAUUUUUUAAAAAGAAGUAUGAACUUUUAGAAAAUAAGGUUAUAUUCAAAAAAUAUUACUAUUAACUAAUAUUUAAUUUAUAUGUUUUUUAACCUUAUGCAAAGGUGAUUCUUAGAGUACAAUUUCUCACUUUGGCUACUACCUGUUAAUGAACAUUCAGGACAUGGAUAAAAUUGAAGCCCUGGUUGUAGAUUGUACAACGUCAAUCAACAAAUACUGCAAUGCCCAGCUAUUUGAAAGGUUGCCAAAUCUCAGAUUAAUAAAACUAGUUGAUGUAUAUGAUAUCAAAGGAAAAAUCAAAGCUUCAUUUCAUGAGUUGAGGUACAUCAGUUGGCAUGGCUGUCCCUGGACCCAUUUAUCUUAUGGUGUUCAUCUACAAAAACUUGUCGUUUUAGACAUGCCAUUCAGCAGAUUUGAAACAUUGUGGAAGAUUGCUAAGGUAUGAAAUCAAAUAUCUUAACUAUUUCUCUCUCUUGCUCAUGUGUUAUAUGCACAAGCUUUAUAUGUCCUUGAUUCGCACACAUUAAGUUUUUUUUUUUAUAUGUUAUUAAGGGCACGAGCAUGCUGAUAUUUUAGGCCCCUUUUUAUUGAGUAUUUAUAUUUUGGUCAAAUGUUGUUGAAAAUUGAUGAUCUUGGCUAGGCAUUCACCCCAAGAAUUUAAAUAAUCUCUUAUAAAUAUAUAAAUGUUGCUCCACUUCCAAUAAAAUAUAUAUCACAUUGGUGCUACUUUACCUGUAGAGUAUCAUCAUAAUACUCAAUUAGUUGUGACAUAUCAUCAUAUAUAAUAAUCUUCUAAUGGGUUGUGACAUAUCAUCAUAUAUAAUAAUCUUCUAAUUAGCUGCUAUUCUUUUCAUUGUCCAUAUGACAGAUAGUUUAUUACUGUGUUAGGUUUGGUCUCUGUUGUUAUAGUCUGGUGCAAACAUGUUUUUAUUGCUUAAGUGAAUCAUUGAUGUGAGUAAAGUAUCACAAUGAUAUUACUCUAUUAGUGGGGUAUCUUCUUGAUAUUCAACGUGGCGUCUCAUCUUCAUACUCCUCUAACAAUGAAGUAUCUUUUCGGUCUUUCUUGAUGAAAAUUGGGUAAUUUGACUGGACAUUCACCAAGACCUUAAUUAACGUAUAUUUGUUGAACAUUUUUGAAAAUUAGAUAUGUUGAUUGUAAAAAGUUAUUUUGUUAUAAAUGCUUAGAUGAUGUGAUUAAUUAUAUAAUCAUUAGUAAUCACCAUAUUAUGUAUCAAUCAUAUUAUAAAUAAAAUAAUAUCUUGUUUCAAAAAAAAAAAAUAAUAUCUUAUAUAUAAUCAGACAUAUUAAUUACAAUCUAUUAAUUAUAUGUAUUAAUAAAGCAUGUCUACAAAUUAAUUACAUAUUUAAUUAUGAAUCGGUUAAUAUUUCAGAUAUUAUCACGUGUAUUAAUUACAAGUUAUUAAUUAUAUAUAUGAAUUAAGUAAAUGGUUAAAAGAGUAAUUUUUAUAUGAAUAAAAUGAAGUAUGUUAGGCUAUAUAUAAUAGAUAGUUGUUGCAUUAAUUAGGAUUCCAAAAAAUAAAAUGACUCAAAAUUUAUUAUUUUUCUGACAUCAGCAACCACGUGCGAUAAAAUGUUGUGUAUUUUACUUAUGUAUUUAUUGAUAAUUUCUAAAAGAGUAAUUAGAAAUUUAAAUGAUCUUAUAAUUCGUUUUAACACAUAAUUAAAAAAAAUGACAUACAUAAUUAUAAUAUUAUAUAAAUUAAAAGUAAUUAGGAUUUCAAGAAAUAAAAUGACUCAAUAUUUACAUUUUUUUUUUAAUACCAACGCCUACAUGUGACAAACAUUUUCUCAUCUAUUUGUUCAUAAUUAAAAGCAUCUCGGGAAUAUGUAUAAUGGUUGGUUAUAUUGAUUAGUUAAAUUGAUUAUAUAAUUUCUUUGAUGAGGGGACAUGUAUAUGCUCCAAUGAGAUUAUCUAUAAUAAUGCUCGUGGAAAAUUAUAGCUAAGAGCAUCUCCAACCAUGAGAAACCGUUAGCUAAAAGCUUAGUUGGCAUAUCAAAAAUAAAAAUUAUAAUCAACGCCUUCAAAAAGCGACACUCUAAUCACACCCACCCUUUGUCUAUAAUCAUAGCCAACAUCCUAUGAACGACUAUUUUAUCGAUCCACUACACAUCACUUAUUACCAUAUUAAAGUGAUAGAUUCUAUUUAUAACAAUCUAAAAUAUUGAUAACAUACUAUUUUUAAAUUAUAGCCAACCAAUAUAGUUAAUACCAUCGAAACAAAAUAUUUUACAGGUUCGGUAAAUUUUACAUAAUGUUCUACGGGUCUAAUUUAGCCACCGUUAUAGCCAAUCCCGUUAGAGAGGCUCUAAGGUUGUGUUCACUUGGAGUGAAUGGAAAAGAGGGAUAAUGGAAUGAAUUUUGUACUCUAAAAUGGUGUUGAUCAAAGUAAAUGUAUAUCAUUUUCAUUCCUUCCAUCAUUCCAACCUUACUAUUUUAACUAUAACUUUAACCCACAUGUUUUGGAAGGAAUGCUCAUUCCAUUUCAACAUCAUGUUUCUUCACAAUCUUUCUCACAAAAAAAUUAACUACAUUCAUAUUUUAUCACCAUUAUCUCAUACUUUCUUCUUUCUCUUAUAAACUUGUAUAUAAUUUUUCAUUCCAUUCUCCCCUCAUUCCAUUUCAUGAAGUGAACACAGCCUAAGGCUUUACUUGGUUCGACAAAUAUAACCACUCAAACAUGGUAGGCUAUAUAUUUUGCUAAGGGAUGGAGGGUUGGGGUUGUUUAAUUUUUAGAUAAUCUUUGUAAGUGUCAUGUAGAUGAUACCUAGAUGCCACAUAGAGAAUUUUAGCAAAGGACUGAUCUUAUAAUUCUAAUAACAUUGUUAUUAGAAACUAAUCUUAUUAUUCUACAAGAUUUUAGUAAAACAUGUUCCUUUUGUCUCAUUCGAUUGUAUGCGUUAUUUUUUUGCACCCAUUUUAAGGCUUUUGCAAACUGUAGUUUCAUAAUAUUUUUAAAUUUAUUCUUUCCUGAAUAAAAGUUUGAUAUUUAAACUUUUAUUUGAAAAAGAUAAUUUUUAAAAAAAUUCAAUACGUGCACUAGUAAAUGUAUACUGCCACCGGACGGAGAAGUAGCCCUUAUUUCUGAUUAAGAAUUCAUUUAUGGGUGUAUUGAUCGGACAGUUGUCAUCUUUGCGUCAUUUGAAUUUGGAAGGAUGCAUUUACUUGAAGGAAUUGCCAGAUUCAAUUGGGCACUUGACUGGUCUAUACCAUUUGAAUCUCAAUGAUUGUGUAAAACUAAAACGACUUCCCAAACCCAUCACACAAUUGACUACUCUGAGUUGUUUGAAUAUGAGUGGUUGGAGCAAUCUGAAACAAUUGCCGGAGCAAUUGGGCGAAUUGAAAGGCUUAAAGAGGCUUAAUGCAAGUUGUACAGCAAUAGAGCAACUGCCAGAUUCAAUUGCUCACUUGAAGAAAUUAGGUUAUUUGGAUUUGAGGGACUGUAAGAAUCUUAGAAAGUUACCUGAGCAGUUUGGGAACAUGGAAGGCUUGGUGUACUUUAAUGCAGGUGGCAGUGCAAUCGAACAACUGCAAGACUCGUUUUCAGACCUGCUUAAUUUGGUCCAUCUGAAUCUCUCUGGAUGUUCAGAGCUGAAGAGAUUGCCUGAGCAGUUGGGGAAGAUGCAAUGUCUAGAAUUCCUAGAUGCAUCUCAUACAGCAAUUAAAGAAUUACCGGAUUCUAUUGGAUCACUGCCUAGGAUAAAAGUGUUGGGUCUCGCCAAGUGCGAGAAGCUUACGUAUGUCCCAAAUAGCAUCCGCAAUCUUAAAUCAAUUGGAAGCUUAUAUCUUAGCACCUGUGAGGACAUAGUAGAAAUUGAGUUGAUUGAGAAUGUGAAAGAUAUGAACUUGCAGCACCUGGGUCUGAGUUGUAAUAUAAGACUUUGGUUGCCCAUCAUUCUAAGCUUCUCUUCUCUGAUAUCAUUAAGUCUCCGUGAUAAGUGCGGGAGCCCCUCCCCAACCAAACCCUUUAGUUUCUUUCAGCUUUCCAACCUUACAUUUUUUACUUUGACUAACAGUACAACUCAUGGUUCCUCCUUUCCCGAACUACCACUCAAUUUAAGAAGCUUGCAGGUAGAAAGCCACGCUUCUCUAGAACAAGUACCUGAUUUGUCCUACCUCAAACACUUGAAGGAUUUGUACAUAGUCAAAUGCUGCAGCCUUCAAUCUCUCCACAAACUUCCACCUCAUCUUUCACGCCUUACAGUUACUGGAUGUACAAGCCUACAAGACUUUCCAGAUGUGUCAAUGUUGAGAAAUUUAGAACAACUGGAAGUUACUCACAACGGCAGCAAUUUAAAAGUCAAUUUAGAGGAAAAUGACAUUCAGGUUUGUGGUGUUUUUGAUCUUUCUCUUCCAAUAAUACUCAUUCGGUUUUUUAAUAUAUGACAUUUGACUUUUUGGCACACAUUUGUAAAUGUUUUGACCGGUUAGUUAAAAGUAUUAUUUUUGAAAUUUUCUUUUUCUUAAUAAAAAUAUAUAAUCAAAAUUUUAAUUCACAAAAAAAAAUCAAUUAAAAAUAGAGUAAUAAUUUUUACUAUCCGGUCAACUUACUUAGAGGUACGUGAUCAAGUCAAAAAUGACAUAUAAAAAAAACAGAACAGAGGGAGUACUUUGUACAUAUUAAAUCCAUCUCCAUUUCUCUUUUUAUGUUACAGCUAAGAAGUAACCGGUGGUUUACAUUUGAAGCAACUGUACCAAACAAGGAAAUUGCGGAGUGGUUCGACUAUAAAAACAGGGAAGGCUGCACACUAUCUUUUGAAGUUCCCCCGAACUUGGGAGAUGACUUAGUGGGUGUCGCCUUCUGGGUCGUUCAUAAAUGCUCCUGUGACCGAUGGUCAAUAGUUGAAACUGUUAUUACAAAUAAAACACAGGGUAUGACAACUGCCUUGCGCACGGAUACUCAUUAUGGUACAAAGGGUGACCGACAAUCAUCUAUACAUUCCAUAAAGGCAGAGUACAUCUCAAUGAAGAACGGAGACGAAAUUAUGAUUUCUUUUCCUGAAGCAGAAGUGAGUAUGUGUGGCGCUCACAUACUAAAACGUCCUUCCGGCCUAGUCAAAUAAAAUUUUGUCUAAUUUUUUUGCCAGAAAGUAUUGUAUAAUUACAAAGCUUAAAGUUGGGUAAUUCAUCAAAAUUGAAAAUACCAAAUCUAUAAUGUUUAUUCAUCUUGGUAUAUAUAUUACCCAUAUGCAUAUAUUUUUUUGGAGAGGUUUUUUUUUUGUGACAAAAUGCAGAUUUCAUUACUCCAUAUCAUACUGAGUACAAUCUCUAACAUUAACUGGAACAGAACUCCAGUCAAACAUAUGAUCAGGAAUUUAUGGGCAAGUUCGUUUAUUCGUAGAUCGUUUAAUAGAAUACAACUUAAAGUUGUUUGCCUCCUUUAUUAACGCCCUACAAUCUUGAACUACUUGACCAAUACUGAAUACAACUUCUGAUGAUCUGAACGACUAUCAGGUAGUCAGAUUCGAUGAUAACCGUAGUCCAUCCCAUAUUCUUCAUCCAAUUUAGGGCCUCUUUGAUUGCCAAAGCUUCUUCCAAUGUAGGAUUCAAAACUUCUGAAUAGAUUUUGAUCAUAGCAUGAAGCAGAUAACCACCCUGAACCCGAGCAACAAUACCUAUACUUGAACAACCCUUAUCUUUGAAGAUUACUGCGUCAACUGUGAUCUUCACUUCAUGUUGUGGCUUAACCCAACAGGUGACACCAUUUCCUAACAUUGGAGGCUGAAAAGGUGCAAAUAUCUUAUUUAUGUAAAUCAAUAAAAUGUGUUCAAGUAUUGUAAAAUUUAUACCCGUUAAUAGAUUUAUUCUUAAAAAGUGGUUUACCAAUUCAAAUUUAAAAAUUUUGUUAAUCAUUUUAUAUUGUUCUAUACCAAGUAUAAUAAGUUUUUUUUUUGUCAAGAAAUAUAAUAAGUUUUAUAAAUGAAAUAUUAUUAUGUUUUAAUAUAAUCGAUUAUUUUUUUAAAAUAGUUUGAUUAAACAUUGUGAGCCACUGGGUUCAAAACUUUAAUAUAUUUUUUAUAUUUUUAUUUUUUGUUGUUAUACUUCCGAUAACCCUAUGAUUUUGGGCUCAAAUCUUAGUAAUUCUGUUUUAAUAUAUUAUAUGUUUCUUACCAAAACACAUAUAUUUAUCUAAUUAAUUAACUCAAAUCACUUUUAAUUCAAUGAAAAAUCAACAUCUAAAAAAGAUUUUUUUUAAUAUGAUUUUUGUCCCAAUUUAAUUAGAUUCCUGAUCCGUCCAUGCAUUACUUCUACUGUAUAAAGUAGAACUAUGUAAUGCAAUCAGAAAUCGAUGAUGCAGUCAGUAUUCUUUUAUACUAGCUGGACAAAUAUAUGAUAUCAGUAAUAUUAGUCGUGUCCACCAGCUACAGAGCAAUUUCUCAGCUAUUUCUCAACUAUUCCAAACUACUUUUUUAAAUUUAAUAUAAUAAUAGAGUCUAAUUCAUUUUAUAAUUUGAUACAGCAUUAAAAAGAUUUAGUCAGUUCACUUGGUAUACAUACAGCAAGUUUGUUUCAUUAGGAGACUUUAUUUUAGGAAAUGUUUGGUAAAUUAUUUACUUUCUGUAUCCCAUUCAUUUCUAUAUGGUUUUCUUUUUUGAAUGUCACCGUUUUUAUACAUUUAAUAAAUAAUAACUUUUAAUAGUAUAAAAAAUUAUUACACUCAUUAUUUUCCUCCACUAUCUACAUUAUAUAACAAUACAAGAGCAGUGAAGAAAUGUGCUCCAAAGGGGUUAUGUAUAAUUAUGAUCAGAUUGAUUCAACAAAUAUAACUCAUCAAAUAUGUUUUUCUAUAUUUUAUUGUUAAUGCGUGAAUAGUUGGAGUGUUUCAAAUUUUGCGUAUUCUCUAAACAUGUCAACUAGAUGAUACAUAGAUGCCAAGUGGAUGAUAUAACUGCUUUAUACCCGCUGUAACACUAUUACACCCACUACUUUACUCUACUAUCGCAAAUCUAUUUUUGAAUAUAAAUGAGUCUCAUCACUUUAUUUAUUUUUCAUAUAGUUUUACUCAUGUUUUACACUUUUUCUUGGUUUUCAUAUCCACACUCCAAUGUAUAUAAUUGGGUGGGACUGAAAGAAGGAGCAGUGAAACUAAUACAGACUUUUCAACCAUCAGAAUGAACAAAAAGUCGUGAGUACUAAAAGACUCCAAGUAGUGCAAAGAAUAAAUAUACAGACCACAUAUUUUAGAGACCAGGAAGUUGAUAAGUACAGACCUUAGUUGUUUGAAUUCAUUCUGAAUCAAUGGCUUUUGAGUUAUGGGAAACGUUCAAAGAUUCAAUCACGGCAAUCACGGCAUACGCCGAACUCUCACCUGUGACUUUGGUUAUAUUUGUAGCUUUGGGACUUGCCUUGUUCUACGUUGUUUCGGUGAUGUGUUUAGGCCCUCUGCUCAGCCAGACCAGCAGUACUGUUCGGUGGGGAAAGACAAGGAUCAAUUAGCAACUGUCACCUCAUCCCCUCUAUGGGAUGUCUUUUUGAGUUUUCAUGGCAACGACACUCGCAGAAAUUUCAUUUCACAUCUUUACCGUGCUUUGGAUCAGGCGGGGAUUGUAACUUUCAGAGAUGAUCCUGCACUUGAAAAGGGCGAAGAAAUCUCAUCAGGUCUGCGUCAAGCAAUCAGAAAUUCUAAGAUGUUUGAACUGGUUAUCUCAGAGAACUAUGCUAAUUCGUCGUGGUGCCUUGAUGAGCUUGUAGAGAUCCUGAGUUGCAAGAAAAUAAAGAAUCAGGUUCUUACGGUAUUUUACUAUGUUGAUCCAUCAGAUCUACGACACCACAAGGGGAGUUUUGGUAUAGCUCUUAAAAAGCAUCAGAAGCGUCACUCUGUUGAUAGGAUUCACAAGUGGAAAUCCGCGCUUACUGAAGUGGCAGAUCUAUCAGGUUACCAUUUGGAACACACGAAAGAAGAGUAAGUACCUCUAUGAUGAGUUCUGUAUCUAAUUAUACCAUCUAUUUUUCUAGCGAUGUUCUGCUACAAUUUUUUUGUAAACACAUUAAAGGACUUGCGACGCAACGCAUUAUAUAUUAUUGAUAUUACCAAAAGAUUACAACUCUGUAUAUUGUAGUAAAAUUAAGUAACAUUAACAGGAGUGAAGCAGACACUAUAAAAAAUAUUGUUGAGAAUGUAUUGUCCCAAGCAUCAACAAAGGUCGUACACCUUGAAAGAUGUCUAUUUGGGACAGAUUCUGCUGUCGAAGAGAUAUAUCGACGACUAAGCAUGGCGUCAAAUGAUGUCCGCGCCCUUGGAAUAUGUGGGAUGGGUGGAAUUGGGAAAACAACUAUAGCCAAGGCCUUCUACAACAAGUACUCCCUUAAAUUUGAUAUAAGUUGUUUUAUAAAAAAUGAAAAACAGAAUUCACAAGGAGCUAGUCCACUUUCUUUACUUCACCAACUCUUGAAAGAGCUUCUCAGAGUGAAGGAUUUGAAGGUCCGUAAUUCUGAAAGUGCACUUCGAAAAUUGACAGAGAUUCUAAGUUCUAACAAAGCUCUCAUUAUUUUUGAUGAUUUGGACCAGUCAAAUUAUUCGGAAUUGGUAGUAAGAAUUUACAAGCACUUUUCAGUUGGUAGCAGAUUCAUAUUUACGGCAAGAGAUACAAACCUUCCAAAUCAACUGAAAGUGGCAAUGUCAAAUGGAGAAAUAUAUAUGGUAAAGUAUUUGAAUCAAAUGGAUUCAUCGGAGCUAUUUAGCUAUCAUGCCUUUAACAUAUCAAAGCCUCCCGGAAAAUACUUAGCUCUGUCUCAAAGUUUUGUUACUCAUGCGGAAGGCCUGCCGCUGGCUCUAAAGAUGUUAGGUUCAUCUUUGUGCGGUAGGACGAAUAUAUCAAUUUGGAAAGUUAAAUUGGAAAAGGUUAAAAAAAUUCCGAUGAAAGAUAUCCAAAAAAUCCUUCAAUUGAGUUAUGAUGAAUUAGAAAAAGAUACGCAAAAGGCUAUUUUCAGUUAUAUUGUAUUCUUCUUCCUGGGAAAGAACAUAAAUGAGGCUAUUGACGUAUUCGAGUCUUGUAAAUUUUAUCCUGGGGAUGGGAUACGAAUUCUAGUAGACAGAUGUCUACUAACCAUUGAUUCCCGUAAUAGGUUUCAAAUGCAUAAUUAUAGAAGAUAUGGGAAGAAAUGUCAUUCGUGAAGAAUCCAAACAUGCCCGAGUCAGGCUCUUGCACUUGGAUCAAGAAGAAGCAUCUCAAGUUUUUCCAAAUCAAGGGGUAAACAAAAUGCUAAAUAUUUUAGUUCUAAUUAUGAGAUAACAUACUACGCUUUUUUUAAUAUAUAAUUAAUUUAAUAAUCAAAUAUUACAUUAUAAAUAAAAUAUAGUUCAUUAUAUUACUUAUAAACAUUUUUUAUUUAGAAAAAUUAUUUCCAAGUAGAAUCUAGUUUAUAAGUUUCUAACAUAUUCCAAAUGUGGUUUCGGAGGACACUUUUUCACUUUUACCACGGUUUGUUAUUGCACAUUCAGGAAAUGGAUAAAAUUGAUGGACUGAUUAUAGAUUGUACAACGUCUAUAAACAAAUACUGCAAUGGAGAGCUAUUUGAAAGAUUGCCAAACAUAAAAUUAUUGAAAUUAGUUGAUGUGUAUCAUAUCAAAGGUAAUUUCGAAGUUUCAUUUCAUCAGUUGAGGUACAUCAGUUGGCAUGGCUGUCCUUGGACCCAUUUACCUUAUGGUGUUCAUCUACAAAAGCUUGUUGUUUUAGACAUGCCAUUCAGCAGAUUUGAUAAAUUGUGGAAGAUUGCCGAGGUAUGUAAUCACAUAACUUAACUAAUUGUCUUUCUUCCUUAUAUAUGUAUAUUAGUAUAAUAUGAGAAUUACACCCCCACAAAAAAAUGAAAAACUGUGAUGCUAAUCACAAAAGACAAAUAGGAGGAACUAAAAAACAAGUGUCUAGUAUAUAUUUUUCUCAUUGCUGGUUGUCUGUUUCCUCUAUAGUUGGAAUAAAGACAUGUUGGAACAAAGACAUUAGAUAAAAUUUGCUGAACCGGUAAAACAUUAUGUUUCAAUGGUAUUGGCUAUAUUUUAAAAAUAAUAUGUUAUUAAUAUUUAGAUUGUUAUAAAUAGAAUAUAUCAGUUUAAUAUGGUAAUAAAUAAUAUGUAAUUAGUGGGAAGAAGGAAAAUAAAUUGCGGGAGAUGGCGUGUAAUUCACUACAGAUCGGUAGUGGUUCGACAAAUAUAGUCAUUCAUAGGGAGAUGACUAUAAUUAUAAACAAGGGCUUGCUAUGAUUGGAGUGCAGUUUUUUGUGGACAUUGGCUAUAAUUUUUGAUUUUGGUAAGCCAGUUGACUUCUUGUGGUUGGAGAUGCUUUUAAGUUCUAAUGCAAACUGAAAACUCUUCAAACCUGGCAUUAAUUUCUGAUUAAGAGUUGAUUUAUGGCUGUAUUGAUUGAACAGUUGCCAUGUUUGCGUCAUUUGAAUUUGGAAGGAUGCAAAUACUUGAAGGAAUUGCCCCACUCAAUUGAAAAGUUGACUGCUUUAUACCAUUUGAAUCUGAAUGGUUGUGUGAAUCUAAAACGACUUCUCAAACCCAUCACACAGUUGACUACUCUGAGUCGUUUGAAUAUGAGGUUUUGCAGCAAUCUGAGACUAUUGCCCGAUCAGUUGGGCGAUUUGAAAGGCUUAAAGAGGCUUGAUCAGUUGGGAGAUUCAAUUGCUCACUUGAAGAAAUUAGUUUAUUUGAAGUUGGAAGGUAGCAAGCAGCUUAGAAAGUUACCUGAGCAAUUUGGGAACAUGGAAGGCUUGGAGGAAUUUAAUGCAUGUCACAGUGGAAUCGAACAAUUGCCAGACUCAUUUUCAAACCAGCUUAAAUUGAGAUCUCUGAAUCUGAGAGGAUGUUCAGAGAUGAAGAGAUUGCCUGAGCAGUUGGGGAAGAUGCAGUCUCUAGAAUCGCUUUAUGCUUUUAAUACAGCAAUCGAAGAAUUACCGGAUUCUAUUGGAUUACUUCCUAGGAUACAACGGUUGCAUUUUGAUGAAUGCCAUAAGCUAACAUAUGUUCCGAAUAGCAUCUGCAAUCUUAAAUCACUCGCAAGCUUAUAUCUUACCACCCGUGAGGACAUAAUAAAAAUUGAUUUGACUGAGGCCAUGAAGGAUAUGAACUUGGAGGACCUGCGUCUGAGUUGUAAUAUAAGAGUUUGGUUGCCCAUCAUUCUAAGUUUUUCUUCUCUGACAUAUUUACGCCUCCGUGAUGAGUGCGGGAGUCCCUCCCCAACCAAACCCUUUAGUUUUUCUAAGCUUUCCAACCUUGACGUACUUUCUUUGACUAACAGUUCAAGUCACGGCUCCUCCUUUCCCGAACUACCACCAAAUUUAAUAUUGUUGGAGGUAGACAACCACGCUUCACUAGAACAAGUACCUGAUUUGUCUUACCUCGAACACUUGAAAGAAAUUUCCAUAAGGAGAUGCUGCAGCCUUCAAUCUGUCCAGAAACUUCCACCUCAUCUUUCAAGCCUUACAGUUACAGAUUGUACAAGCCUACAAGAGUUUCCAGUUCUGUCAAUGUUGAGAGAUUUAGAACUACUGGAAGUUACUGGCAACGGCAGCAAUUUAAAAGUCAAAUUAGAGGAAAAUCACCUUCAGGUUUGUGGUGUUUUUGAUCUUUCUCUUCCAAUAAUAAUACUUUGGACAUAUUAAAUCCAUUUCCAUUUCUCUUUUAAUCUUACAGCUAAUUAGAAGAGACUGGGGGUCUACAUUUGGAGCAACUCUACAAAACAAGGAAAUAGCAGAGUGGUUCGACUAUAAAAACAGGGGAGGGUGCACACUAUCUUUUCAUGUUCCCCCAAACUUGGGAGAUCACUUCGUGGGUGUCGCCUUCUGGGUUGUUUAUAAAUGCUCCUAUGAUGGAUGGUCAGCAGUUGAAGCUGUUAUUACAAAUAAAAGAGAGGGCAUGACAACUGCCUCGCACAGCAAGGGUAUUAAUUCUGGCAGAAAGGGUGACGUGCUAUCAUUUAUACAUUGCAUAAGGGCAGAGGACAUCUCAAUGAAGAGCGGAGACAAAAUUAUGAUUUCUUAUCCUGACGGAGAAGUGAAUAUGUGCGGGGUUCACAUACUAAAAUAGCCUUCCACGAAGAGCCUAGCGACAGAGCCAAGUAAAAUGUUGUAUAAUUUGAUUUUGUAAAGAAAGUGUUGAAUAGUUAGAGCAUCUCCAACCAUUGAAAACCCUUGGCUAAAAAGUGAGUUGGCAUACUUAAAAUAAAAAAAUUUAGCCAACAGCUCGAAAAACUCAACUCCAACCAUGCUCCGCUGUUGUCUAUAAAUUUAGCCAACCUCCUAUGGAUGGCUAAAUUUGUUGAACCUCUACAGGUCUGUAAGAAAAUCUGUAGGAAGAUUGCAUAUCAUUUAUUACCAUAUUGAACUGAUAUAUUCUAUUUUAACAAUCUAAAAUAUUAAUAACAUACUAUUUUUAAAUUAUAGCCAACCAAUAUAGUCAAUACCAUUGAAGCAAAAUGUCUUACAGGUUCAGCAAAUUUUACGUAAUGUCUUACAGAUCCCAUUUUUUUAUCAAUAUCUUAUUCAUGUAAUAUAAUAAAAUGUGUUCAAAAUAUAGUAAAAAUUAGCGAUUAAUAGAUUCAUUAUUUUUUUUGAAACAAAGGUGUUAAUCUAAUAACAAAAAACCAUACGGCAUCUACACCAAUGAUCGAGUCGAACAAACAGUAAUUUGCAAUCGCCUGUUCUCAUAAAGAGACAGUUAAACGAUAUUUUAAAGAAAAUGUAUAUACAAAUACAAGUACCCGCUUCAUGCAUCCGAAGCAUGCUCGUUGAAUUACUGGUACCCUCUUCAUCAUGCCCUGACAGAGGUAUCGUCUGAGGUAUCGACCAAAACGGCGAUUCCAUACAAACUUUCAUCACCAAAUCAAGACCCUGCUUACAAUUAAGAAGCGAAAAACAAAACUCUCACCAGAAAGAGAAAACAACCUUAGAUCUGAAGCAGAACCACUGGAACAAGAGAAAUCAGACUGAAAAUCCACCCGCUUGAAACAGAGAAGAAAGAAAACGAAAUCUCCGAUGGUUUUAGAUCUAAAAAUUCUUCCGAGAAUAGAUCCGGAGCAGAACCACAAAAACAAGAGAAAUCAGACUGAAACUCACCCGCUUGGAAGAGAGACAACGAAAUCUCCGAUGGUUUUAGAUCUAAGUAUCCCGAGAAGAUGUAUUAUUCAAAAACCAGAAAGAAAAACAAAGCAAUCAAGUGAUUCGGGGCUUUCCACCGGUGAAAACCGAUAGAAGCCCCAGGCGGAUUUGACAAGAAAGAGGCUAGAGAAAAUUAGGGUUAAGGGAGAGGCUAGGGUUAAAAAGCUGUGUUAAUAGAUUCAUUAUUAAAACGUGCUUUACUUAUUCAAUUUUACAAAUUUGAUUAGUCAUUUUGUAUUAUUUUAUACCAAAUAGUUCAAGUUUCAUCUGGGCAGGGAUCCAUGCACAGAGCCAACGAAGCUCUAAAGAAUGGGUUUAGAUGGGUCAUUGGAGAUGGUAAGGAGGUGGUGGCUGUUCAGGAUCCUUGGCUGCGUAGAAAGCAAGAUCAUCGAGUAGAAAAUAGUCAUAUUUAUCAAGGAAGAGAUGAGAAAGUUGCAGACAUAUUCUUACCAGGUACGAAACAAUGAAAUUUUGAUCUAGUUCAAGCUCAGUUCCGUAGUGAGGAAGCCAUGGCUAUCUUAGCCACUCCGAUCCCUAAGGUCCAGAUUAAGAUCGUAUAGGCCAUGGUCUACUCAGAGUGCAGGUCGGUUACUGUUGUUGAAAGUACAGGUUGGGCUAAGCUCUGGAAGGUGAACAUCCCACAUAAAAUGAGGGUCUUCUUACGGAGGUUUUGUAGAAAUACAGUUCCAGUCAGGAAUAGGCUGAGAGGGAAGGGAGUGCAGGUGCCCACUCUUUGUCCGAUGUGUAAUAGCGAUGUUAAACACUUGUUGCAUAUAUUUUUAGAUUGUCAGUAUGUUGCUAGGUGUUGGCGUCAUGCAGGAUUGCAGUAUGACAUGGCAAGCGUUAAGUCUGCUCCGGAGUGGUUGCUUCAAAGUGUUAUGUUAUUGUUAUAGAAUCCUGAUUAAGAAAUUCAGACUCCUCAAAGCAAAAUAGAUGCAUGAGCCACAACUAUGUUUUCUGCUUUUAUGUGUAAAUAUAUAGUGACAAGAUAAAGAGGGCAUACGUAAGUAAUUUUUAAUAAUGGCUCCGAUAUAUGCAGAAAAUGUUGUUCUGGACAGGACUGGAAGAACUCGACCAAUUUCAGGGACUGGAAGAUCGCCAUUCUCUGCUGCUUGUUCUUGCCUCCUUUUAUUGAUCUUGCAGGGAUUGAAUAGGGCGUUGAGUAGCUUGAACCAACAAAAUUAAUCAGAGAACAUUCACAAAGUAGUUGAUAGAAUGUAAAUAGCAGAAAUAGGUGCACUGCUUACAGAAGGCAUCAAGAUUUCAUCUAUAUGUAGCAAAAUGAUAUAUAAUAGUUUGCAGACUUGGCCUUCAUUUUUUAUUAUGUUCACUAGUAACAACAAAAAAGUCCCAAUUGCAAUCUAAUAACCUUUAAAGAGAAACUGAAGCACUUGUGUGAAGUCAUGAGUUCCAGAGGAAAUCGGAUUGUCAACUACUGCAUGCUUAACCUUUAAAUAAUCAGGCCCAACACCAGCGGACCAGACGGCGGCCUUAAAAUCACGCCAUCAACCUGAAAACCACCUCCACCAGAUACUGAAGCUAGCCGAGUCGCCUCAUUCAAGCUAUAAAGAGUGUUUUUACACCUGAGUAGUAUCCCAUUCUUUGCAGCUAUACGACAGGAAUCGUUCCUUGGGGUUGACCGAUGAAGUUUAAUUACCUGCCCAUUCCAUCAAUUGCCGGAUGAUUUAUUUCCCUGCAAUAUAUGAAUUCUUAAAUUAUGCACCAAAUCAGUAACAGGGGAAAGAUGAAAAACAGAAGCUACUGACAAACAUGCAUCUGGAAUGUCAUAUACAAAAUGUGAAGCACGCCAUAACUGGGAAUGACAUAAGCACAAUGACAUCAGAGUUAAAUAGCAAACUCUGGACAAAGAGGUUACCCUCUUCUCAUAAUAUGGACAAGUAGUAUGAACUGGGCAAUUUCAGUGAAGUUGCCAAGUAUAUGAUUGAAGUUUCGAGCUCCAUUAUUGUCAAAAAGUAGUAGUAUGAAUUUAUACAAUUUCAGUGAACCUGUCAAGCAUUGAAGUUUCCAGGCGAGACCGGAGUUUUGAGUGAAGUUUUCAGCUUUUCAUGUCACGAAUUUUUUUUAUUAAGUUAUAACAAACUCUUAGAAUUUAUUUAACUAUUUUCAUAAUAAUUUAGUUUUGAAAUAUUUUUCACAGCAUAAUUUAAUUUUAGUUAAGAGAAUUCAUGACGACACGACAUUAAUAUUUUGUGGAGGGCCAGCUGAAUUUUCUGAUUAAGAAUCAGAAUGACAUACACACUUUGACAAAAAUAAAAAGAAUAUGUAAAGAAUAUCAAACUUAGACGAUAAAUUUCAAAAAAUAUGAAUUGAGGUUUUAUAAACUUUUAAAUAUAUUCAAAUUAUAAAGAAAAUUAAAAGUAAGGAAAGGGCUCAAGACUCAAGACUUGACUCAAGAGUGCCCAAAAAGGCUGUAGUAGUGGAAAAAGAAGACAUAAACAGUGACCACACAUUUAGAGAUAGGGAAGUGAAAAAAGCAUUACAAAGCCAGUGCAUUUUUAUCACCUGCAAACAUAAACAGUGUCCUCGGUUUAGUUUUCUUCUACUUCAUUCUGGAUCAAUGGCUUUUGUGUUAUGGCAAACGUUGAAAGAAUCAAUCACAGCAUACGCAGAACUCUCACCUGUGACUUUGCUUACAUCUCUAACCUUGGGACUUGCCUUGUUCUACGCUAUUUCGGUGAUGUUGAGGCCUUCUGCUCAGCCACACCAGCAAGUCGCAGUGCUGGAAGACAAGAAUGAAUUAGCUGCUGUCACUUCAUCCCCUCUAUGGGAUGUCUUUUUGAGUUUUCGUGGCCAAGACACUCGCAAAAAUUUCAUUGGACAUCUUUACCUUGCUUUGGAUCAGGCAGGGAUCGUAACCUUCAAAGACGAUCCUGCACUUGAAAAGGGUCAAGAAAUUUCAACAGGACUGCG
RNAcentral lists this long non-coding RNA (41848 nucleotides) under Daucus carota (carrot). RNAcentral's name for it is "long non-coding RNA (DCAR_LNC006401)". Lineage: Eukaryota; Viridiplantae; Streptophyta; Magnoliopsida; Apiales; Apiaceae. The record is from RNAcentral.